RNAcentral lists this ribosomal RNA (433 nucleotides) under uncultured bacterium. RNAcentral's name for it is "partial 16S ribosomal RNA". It matches the Rfam family "Bacterial small subunit ribosomal RNA", at positions 29 to 507 of the family's 1533-position model. The record is from RNAcentral.
AACGAACGCUGGCGGCAUGCCUAACACAUGCAAGUCGAACGAGACCUUCGGGUCUAGUGGCGCACGGGUGCGUAACGCGUGGGAACCUGCCCUUAGGUUCGGAAUAACUCCCCGAAAGGGGUGCUAAUACCGGAUAAUGUCUUCGGACCAAAGAUUUAUCGCCUUUGGAUGGGCCCGCGUUGGAUUAGCUAGUUGGUAGGGUAAAAGCCUACCAAGGCGACGCUCCAUAGCUGGUCUGAGAGGAUGGUCAGCCACACUGGGACUGAGACACGGCCCAGACUCCUACGGGAGGCAGCAGUGGGGAAUAUUGGACAAUGGGCGAAAGCCUGAUCCAGCAAUGCCGCGUGAGUGAUGAAGGCCUUAGGGUUGUAAAGCUCUUUUACCCGGGAUGAUAAUGACAGUACCGGGAGAAUAAGCUCCGGCUAACUCCGUG